GACGAACGCUGGCGGCGUGCCUAACACAUGCAAGUCGAGCGCUGAAGGAUUGUGCUUGUACCCACUGGAUGAGCAGCGAACGGGUGAGUAACGCGUGGGGAAUCUGCCUCUUAGCGGGGGACAACAUCUGGAAACGAAUGCUACUACCGCAUAAAAACUUUAAAGACAAGAAUCAAGUUUGAAAGAUGCAAUGGCAUCACUCAAGGAUGAUCCCGCGAUGUAUUAGCUAGUUGGUGAGGUAAAGGCUCACCAAGGCGAAGGUACCUAGCCGACCUGAGAGGGUGGUCCGCCAACAUGGGACUGGGACCAGGCCCCAGCCCCUUCCGGAGGCCGCCGUAAGGGAUCUUCGGCCAUGGGCGGCAGUCUGACCGCGCCACGCCGCGUGAGUGGAGAAGGUUUUCGGGUCGGUAAAGUCUGUUGGUAGGGAAGAAAGUUGGUGAGGGUGGAAAGCUCAUCAAGUGACGGUAACUACCCAGAAAGCAACGGCUAACUACGUG
RNAcentral lists this ribosomal RNA (497 nucleotides) under uncultured bacterium. RNAcentral describes it as "partial 16S ribosomal RNA". It matches the Rfam family "Bacterial small subunit ribosomal RNA", at positions 28 to 507 of the family's 1533-position model. The record is from RNAcentral.